RNAcentral lists this ribosomal RNA (254 nucleotides) under uncultured bacterium. Its description in RNAcentral is "partial 16S ribosomal RNA". It matches the Rfam family "Bacterial small subunit ribosomal RNA", at positions 524 to 776 of the family's 1533-position model. The record is from RNAcentral.
UACGGUGGGAGCAAGCGUUGUUCGGAUUUACUGGGCGUAAAGGGCGCGUAGGCGGCCACCGCAAGUCAGUUGUGAAAUCUCUGGGCUUAACCCAGAAAGGUCAACUGAUACUGCGGGGCUAGAGUGCAGAAGGGGCAACUGGAAUUCUCGGUGUAGCGGUGAAAUGCGUAGAUAUCGAGAGGAACACCUGCGGCGAAGGCGGGUUGCUGGGCUGACACUGACGCUGAAGCGCGAAAGCUAGGGGAGCGAACGGG